UACGUAGGGGGCUAGCGUUUUCCGGAUUUUUUGGGCGUAAAGAGCGUGUAGGCUGCCUGGUAGGUCUGCUGUGAAAACUCGAGGCUCAACCUCGAGAUGUCGGCGGAAACCAUCUGGCUAGAGUCCGGAAGAGGAGAGUGGAAUUCCUGGUGUAGCGGCGAAAUGCGCAGAUAUCAGGAAGAACACCUAUGGCGAAGGCAGCUCUCUGGGACGGUACUGACGCUGAGACGCGAAAGCGUGGGGAGCGAACAGG
RNAcentral lists this ribosomal RNA (253 nucleotides) under uncultured bacterium. RNAcentral's name for it is "partial 16S ribosomal RNA". It matches the Rfam family "Bacterial small subunit ribosomal RNA", at positions 524 to 776 of the family's 1533-position model. The record is from RNAcentral.